UACGUAGGGUGCGAGCGUUGUCCGGAAUUAUUGGGCGUAAAGAGCUCGUAGGCGGCUUGUCGCGUCGGAUGUGAAAGCCCGGGGCUUAACUCCGGGUCUGCAUUCGAUACGGGCAGACUAGAGUGCGGUAGGGGAGAUUGGAAUUCCUGGUGUAGCGGUGGAAUGCGCAGAUAUCAGGAGGAACACCGAUGGCGAAGGCAGAUCUCUGGGCCGUAACUGACGCUGAGGAGCGAAAGCAUGGGGAGCGAACAGG
This 253-nucleotide ribosomal RNA is filed under the name uncultured bacterium. RNAcentral describes it as "partial 16S ribosomal RNA". It matches the Rfam family "Bacterial small subunit ribosomal RNA", at positions 524 to 776 of the family's 1533-position model. The record is from RNAcentral.